RNAcentral lists this ribosomal RNA (463 nucleotides) under uncultured Desulfobulbus sp. RNAcentral describes it as "bacterial SSU rRNA". It matches the Rfam family "Bacterial small subunit ribosomal RNA", at positions 925 to 1382 of the family's 1533-position model. Lineage: Bacteria; Pseudomonadati; Thermodesulfobacteriota; Desulfobulbia; Desulfobulbales; Desulfobulbaceae. The record is from RNAcentral.
ACAAGCGGUGGAGUAUGUGGUUAAUUCGAUGCAACGCGAAGAACCUUACCUGGUCUUGACAUCCCGGAGACCCUUAGGAAACUAGGGGGUGGCUUCCAUCUGGAAGAAUCUGGAGACAGGUGCUGCAUGGCUGUCGUCAGCUCGUGUCGUGAGAUGUUGGGUUAAGUCCCGCAACGAGCGCAACCCUUGCCUUUAGUUGCCAGCAGUUCGGCUGGGCACUCUAAAGGGACUGCCGGUGUUAAACCGGAGGAAGGUGGGGAUGACGUCAAGUCCUCAUGGCCUUUAUGACCAGGGCUACACACGUACUACAAUGGCCGAUACAAAGGGCAGCGACACUGCGAGGUGAAGCCAAUCCCGUAAAAUCGGUCUCAGUCCGGAUUGGAGUCUGCAACUCGACUCCAUGAAGUUGGAAUCGCUAGUAAUCGUGGAUCAGCAUGCCACGGUGAAUACGUUCCCGGGCCUU